RNAcentral lists this microRNA precursor (84 nucleotides) under Erinaceus europaeus (western European hedgehog). RNAcentral's name for it is "miRNA (ENSEEUG00000019393.1)". Lineage: Eukaryota; Metazoa; Chordata; Mammalia; Eulipotyphla; Erinaceidae. The record is from RNAcentral.
UGUGUGUGUGUGUGUGUGUGUGUGUGUGUGUGUGUGCGCGCGCCAGUCACAAGACACAUGGAGCCCUGAACCACAAGCACUCAC